This 740-nucleotide ribosomal RNA is filed under the name uncultured Bacteroidota bacterium. RNAcentral describes it as "bacterial SSU rRNA". It matches the Rfam family "Bacterial small subunit ribosomal RNA", at positions 629 to 1372 of the family's 1533-position model. Lineage: Bacteria; Pseudomonadati; Bacteroidota. The record is from RNAcentral.
GAUACUGUUUUUCUUGAAUGCAAUUGAGGUAGGCGGAAUGUGUAGUGUAGCGGUGAAAUGCUUAGAUAUUACACAGAACACCGAUUGCGAAGGCAGCUUACUAAAUUGUGAUUGACGCUGAGGCACGAAAGCGUGGGGAGCGAACAGGAUUAGAUACCCUGGUAGUCCACGCCGUAAACGAUGAUUACUCGUUGUUGGCGAUAUACAGUCAGCGACUGAGCGAAAGCAUUAAGUAAUCCACCUGGGGAGUACGUUCGCAAGAAUGAAACUCAAAGGAAUUGACGGGGGCCCGCACAAGCGGAGGAACAUGUGGUUUAAUUCGAUGAUACGCGAGGAACCUUACCUGGGCUUAAAUGUAGAAUGACAGUACUGGAAACGGUAUCUCUCUUCGGAGCAUUUUACAAGGUGCUGCAUGGUUGUCGUCAGCUCGUGCCGUGAGGUGUCGGGUUAAGUCCCAUAACGAGCGCAACCCCUAUCGUUAGUUGCUAACAGGUAAUGCUGAGGACUCUAGCGAGACUGCCGGUGUAAACCGAGAGGAAGGUGGGGAUGACGUCAAAUCAGCACGGCCCUUAUGUCCAGGGCUACACACGUGUUACAAUGGCCAGUACAAAGGGCAGCUACCUAGCGAUAGGAUGCUAAUCCCCAAAGCUGGUCUCAGUUCGGAUCGAAGUCUGCAACUCGACUUCGUGAAGGUGGAUUCGCUAGUAAUCGCACAUCAGCCAUGGUGCGGUGAAUACGUU